This 402-nucleotide ribosomal RNA is filed under the name uncultured bacterium. RNAcentral's name for it is "bacterial SSU rRNA". It matches the Rfam family "Bacterial small subunit ribosomal RNA", at positions 354 to 773 of the family's 1533-position model. The record is from RNAcentral.
GUCGGGAAUUUUGCGCAAUGGGCGAAAGCCUGACGCAGCAACGCCGCGUGAGGGAUGAAGGCCUUCGGGUUGUAAACCUCUUUUCUCAGGGACGAUGAUGACGGUACCUGAGGAAUAAGCCACGGCUAACUACGUGCCAGCAGCCGCGGUAAUACGUAGGUGGCAAGCGUUGUCCGGAUUUACUGGGCGUAAAGAGCGCGCAGGCGGUCAUUCAAGUCGAGUGUGAAAGCCCCCGGCUCAACUGGGGAGGGUCACUUGAUACUGUUUGACUCGAAGGCGGGAGAGGGAAGUGGAAUUCCCGGUGUAGUGGUGAAAUGCGUAGAUAUCGGGAGGAACACCAGUGGCGAAGGCGACUUCCUGGCCCGUUCUUGACGCUGAGGCGCGAAAGCUAGGGGAGCAAAC